This 253-nucleotide ribosomal RNA is filed under the name uncultured bacterium. RNAcentral describes it as "partial 16S ribosomal RNA". It matches the Rfam family "Bacterial small subunit ribosomal RNA", at positions 524 to 776 of the family's 1533-position model. The record is from RNAcentral.
UACGUAGGGGGCAAGCGUUGUCCGGAUUUAUUGGGCGUAAAGAGCGUGUAGGCGGCUUUACAGGUCCGUUGUGAAAACUCGAGGCUCAACCUCGAGACGCCGGUGGAAAUCGUAAAGCUAGAGUCCGGAAGAGGAGAGUGGAAUUCCUGGUGUAGCGGUGAAAUGCGCAGAUAUCAGGAGGAACACCCGUGGCGAAAGCGGCUCUCUGGGACGGUACUGACGCUGAGACGCGAAAGCGUGGGGAGCAAACAGG